CCCUAGCCCUGAUAGAAGGGAAAAUCCUUUUUUAUUGUUUUUUCUACAAUAAAAAAGAUUGGAAUGAUAGCAGGAAAUAGC
RNAcentral lists this small RNA (81 nucleotides) under Flavobacterium circumlabens. Its description in RNAcentral is "Flavo-1 RNA". It matches the Rfam family "Flavo-1 RNA". Lineage: Bacteria; Pseudomonadati; Bacteroidota; Flavobacteriia; Flavobacteriales; Flavobacteriaceae. The record is from RNAcentral.